This 158-nucleotide ribosomal RNA is filed under the name Dirkmeia churashimaensis. RNAcentral describes it as "5.8S ribosomal RNA". It matches the Rfam family "5.8S ribosomal RNA". Rfam says of the family: 5.8S ribosomal RNA (5.8S rRNA) is a component of the large subunit of the eukaryotic ribosome. It is transcribed by RNA polymerase I as part of the 45S precursor that also contains 18S and 28S rRNA. Lineage: Eukaryota; Fungi; Basidiomycota; Ustilaginomycetes; Ustilaginales; Ustilaginaceae. The record is from RNAcentral.
CAACUUUUGGCAACGGAUCUCUUGGUUCUCCCAUCGAUGAAGAUCGCAGCGAAUUGCGAUAAGUAAUGUGAAUUGCAGAAGUGAAUCAUCGAAUCUUUGAACGCACCUUGCGCUCCCGGCAGAUCUAAUCUGGGGAGCAUGCCUGUUUGAGGGCCGCG